This 253-nucleotide ribosomal RNA is filed under the name uncultured bacterium. RNAcentral describes it as "partial 16S ribosomal RNA". It matches the Rfam family "Bacterial small subunit ribosomal RNA", at positions 524 to 776 of the family's 1533-position model. The record is from RNAcentral.
UACGGGGGGGGCAAGCGUUGUUCGGAAUUACUGGGCGUAAAGGGCUCGUAGGCGGCCGACUAAGUCAGACGUGAAAUCCCCCGGCUUAACCGGGGAACUGCGUCUGAUACUGGACGGCUUGAAUUCGGGAGAGGGAUGCGGAAUUCCAGGUGUAGCGGUGAAAUGCGUAGAUAUCUGGAGGAACACCGGUGGCGAAGGCGGCAUCCUGGACCAACACUGACACUGAUGAGCGAAAGCCAGGGGAGCAAACGGG